RNAcentral lists this ribosomal RNA (681 nucleotides) under Helicostylum elegans. Its description in RNAcentral is "partial 28S ribosomal RNA". It matches the Rfam family "Eukaryotic large subunit ribosomal RNA", at positions 66 to 647 of the family's 3401-position model. Lineage: Eukaryota; Fungi; Mucoromycota; Mucoromycetes; Mucorales; Mucoraceae. The record is from RNAcentral.
UAACAAUGAUUUCCCUAGUAACGGCGAGUGAAGAGGAAAGAGCUCAAAGUUGGAACCUGUUUGGCUUAGCUAAACCGGAUUGUAAACUGUAGAAGUGUUUUCCAGACACGCCUGGUAAAAAAGUCCUUUGGAACAGGGCAUCAUAGAGGGUGAGAAUCCCGUCUUUGGCCAGAGCUGUUGUCUUUUGUGAUACAUUUACAAAGAGUCAGGUUGUUUGGGAAUGCAGCCUAAAUUGGGUGGUAAAUCUCACCUAAAGCUAAAUAUUUGCGAGAGACCGAUAGCGAACAAGUACCGUGAGGGAAAGAUGAAAAGAACUUUGAAAAGAGAGUUAAACAAGUAUGUGAAAUUGUUAAAAGGGAACCGUUUGGAGCCAGACUGGCUUGACUGUAAUCAAUCUAGGCUUCGGCCUGGAUGCACUUGCGGUUUAUGCCUGCCAACGACAAUUUUUUUUGAGGGAAAAAACUAUUAGGAAUGUGGCCCCCCUCGGGGGGUGUUAUAGCCUUUUAGAAAAUACCUUGAAUUGGAUUGAGGAACGCAGUGAAUGCCUUUAGGCAAGAUUGCUGGGCGCUUUCGCUAAUAAAUGCUAGAAUUUCUGCUUCGGGUGGUGCUAGUGUUUAAAGGAGAAACUCGUCUGGUAUAUUUUUUAUUCGCUUAGGUUGUUGGCUUAAUGACUCUAAAUGA